RNAcentral lists this transfer RNA (87 nucleotides) under Sutterella sp. RNAcentral describes it as "tRNA-Leu". It matches the Rfam family "tRNA". Rfam says of the family: Transfer RNA (tRNA) molecules are approximately 80 nucleotides in length. Their secondary structure includes four short double-helical elements and three loops (D, anti-codon, and T loops). The record is from RNAcentral. Lineage: Bacteria; Pseudomonadati; Pseudomonadota; Betaproteobacteria; Burkholderiales; Sutterellaceae.
GCCCGGAUGGCGAAAUUGGUAGACGCAUCAGCUUCAGGUGCUGACGCCUUCACGGGCGUGGAGGUUCGAGUCCUCUUCCGGGCACCA